GUAACAAAAUAAAACCCCGAAGUCAUAUUAAACUUUAGACCCGUGCCCAUCCUGCGAUCUGGAGAAGGAAAAUGUAAGAUAAUGAAGUAGGUUCUUGUAAAUCAGAAACUGAAAAAUGGAUUUUCAGCGAUAGGGUAGGUUUCUCCGAUGAUGGGGUCAUGUAUUCGAUGUCCCGGCGAGAAACUAGCCGAUUGUAGCUGCACACCGUGAAAGAGAGAGGAGAUCGAAGGGCUUACAAAUGAGUUCUGCAGAGGUAUUUGUGCGGAGGUUGAAAAUGCCUGUCCCUUGGUUGUGUUUGCGCGGCAAAACUGAUGAGAAUAUGAAGAUGAGUUUGGUCAAUUGGGAAGCUGUUUGUCAACCUAAAGCUCGGCCAAGGAUUGUGUUCUACAUCAUUUUUUUUCUUCGAGAAUAAAGCAAAGGAGGGUUUGCCUUGGAUCAAAAGGCGAUACCAGAUGCUUAUCCUCCAUGAUGCUAUUAGUGUGUGUACUUGCUCCUUGGUUGCAAGUUAGGAAUUUCUAUCUUUAAAUAUUUUCUUUGAAGGGCUAACAGUUUCAGUAAUUUUAGUUGCCAUGGAUCAAUGUUCUUUUCUCUUCUUAAUGAAGAAGAAAGAUUCAGGUUUCUUGAAUAUAAAAUACUUCCAUUUUAAGCUUUUGCAAGAUUCGAUUUAAAAUCUCAUUGUCAGCAUAGUGGUGACAAUAUUAUUGAAUGCUUUUCUUGUGGGUGACUUAUGUAUUUCUACACGUCCAACUUAUAACAUUGUCAAUAUUCCCUAAAUAGAGUUUGUGUUUUGUUCA
Hevea brasiliensis (rubber tree) is the source of this 794-nucleotide long non-coding RNA. RefSeq lists it as uncharacterized. The transcript has 3 exons. The record is from RefSeq and is a predicted model, not a curated record. NCBI's taxonomy places the organism in Eukaryota, Viridiplantae, Streptophyta, Magnoliopsida, Malpighiales, Euphorbiaceae.